This 407-nucleotide ribosomal RNA is filed under the name uncultured bacterium. Its description in RNAcentral is "partial 16S ribosomal RNA". It matches the Rfam family "Bacterial small subunit ribosomal RNA", at positions 30 to 526 of the family's 1533-position model. The record is from RNAcentral.
AUUGAACGCUGGCGGCAUGCUUUACACAUGCAAGUCGAACGGAGUGGCGGACGGGUGAGUAAUAUAUCGGAACGUGCCCAGUAGCGGGGGAUAACUACUCGAAAGAGUGGCUAAUCACGCAUACUAUUGGAGAGGCCGAUAUAGGAUUAGCUAGUUGGUGGGGUAAAGGCUCACAAAGGCCACGAUCCGUAGCUGGUUGAAGAGGACGACCAGCCACACUGGAACUGAGACACGGUCCAGACUCCUACGGGAGGCAGCAGUGGGGAAUAUUGGACAAUGGGCGAAACCCUGAUCCAGCCAUGCCGCGUGUAUGAAGAAGGCCUUCGGGUUGUAAAGUACUUUAGGCAGAGAGGCGGUAUCUGCAGAAUAAGCACCGGCUAACUACGUGCCAGCAGCCGCGGUAAUAC